AGAUUCGCCCGCCGCGCGCGGCGGGCGGGGCGGGGGCACGGGGGGACUCCUACGGGAGGCAGCAGUGGGGAAUAUUGCACAAUGGAGGAAACUCUGAUGCAGCAACGCCGCGUGAGUGAUGAAGGUCUUCGGAUUGUAAAGCUCUGUCUUCUGGGACGAUAAUGACGGUACCAGAGGAGGAAGCCACGGCUAACUACGUGCCAGCAGCCGCGGUAAU
RNAcentral lists this ribosomal RNA (217 nucleotides) under uncultured bacterium. RNAcentral's name for it is "partial 16S ribosomal RNA". It matches the Rfam family "Bacterial small subunit ribosomal RNA", at positions 280 to 524 of the family's 1533-position model. The record is from RNAcentral.